UACGUAGGGGGCAAGCGUUGUCCGGAUUUAUUGGGCGUAAAGAGCUCGUAGGUGGUUCGGUAAGUCGGAUGUGAAAUCUCCAGGCUCAACCUGGAGGGGUCAUUCGAUACUGCCGUGACUAGAGGUCGGUAGGGGAGUGUGGAAUUCCUGGUGGAGCGGUGAAAUGCGCAGAUAUCAGGAGGAACACCCGUAGCGAAGGCGGCACUCUGGGCCGAUACUGACACUGAGGAGCGAAAGCGUGGGAAGCGAACAGG
Molecule: ribosomal RNA, 254 nt
Filed under: uncultured bacterium
Lineage: Bacteria
Description: partial 16S ribosomal RNA
Rfam family: Bacterial small subunit ribosomal RNA
Source: RNAcentral